UACAGAGGUCCCGAGCGUUGUUCGGAUUCACUGGGCGUAAAGGGUGCGUAGGUGGCUUGAAAAGUUUGAUGUGAAAGCUCAGGGCUUAACCCUGAAAUGGCAUUGAAAACUGUCGGGCUGGAGGUUUGGAGGGGGGACUGGAAUUCUUGGUGUAGCAGUGAAAUGCGUAGAUAUCAAGAGGAACACCAGUGGCGAAGGCGAGUCCCUGGACAACACCUGACACUGAGGCACGAAAGCUAGGGGAGCAAACAGG
This 253-nucleotide ribosomal RNA is filed under the name uncultured bacterium. Its description in RNAcentral is "partial 16S ribosomal RNA". It matches the Rfam family "Bacterial small subunit ribosomal RNA", at positions 524 to 776 of the family's 1533-position model. The record is from RNAcentral.